CGCGGCCUAUCAGCUUGUUGGUGGGGUAACGGCCCACCAAGGCAUCGACGGGUAGCUGGUCUGAGAGGACGAUCAGCCACACUGGGACUGAGACACGGCCCAGACUCCUACGGGAGGCAGCAGUGGGGAAUAUUGCGCAAUGGGCGAAAGCCUGACGCAGCAACGCCGCGUGGGGGAUGACGGCCUUCGGGUUGUAAACCCCUUUCAGCAGGGACGAAAAUGACGGUACCUGCAGAAGAAGCCCCGGCCAACUACGUGCCAGCAGCCGCGGUAACACGUAGGGGGCGAGCGUUGUCCGGAUUUAUUGGGCGUAAAGAGCUCGUAGGCGGUUGCGUAAGUCGGAUGUGAAAACUCAGGGCUCAACCCGGAGACGCCAUCCGAUACUGCGCUGACUAGAGUCCGGUAGGGGAGCAUGGAAUUCCUGGUGUAGCGGUGAAAUGCGCAGAUAUCAGGAGGAACACCAGUGGCGAAGGCGGUGCUCUGGGCCGGUACUGACGCUGAGGAGCGAAAGCGUGGGUAGCGAACAGGAUUAGAUACCCUGGUAGUCCACGCCGUAAACGUUGGGCACUAGGUGUGGGGCCUACUUAACGGGUUCCGUGCCGUAGCUAACGCAUUAAGUGCCCCGCCUGGGGAGUACGG
RNAcentral lists this ribosomal RNA (639 nucleotides) under uncultured bacterium. Its description in RNAcentral is "bacterial SSU rRNA". It matches the Rfam family "Bacterial small subunit ribosomal RNA", at positions 232 to 885 of the family's 1533-position model. The record is from RNAcentral. RNAcentral also lists the same sequence under 1 other name.